GACGAACGCUGGCGGCGUGCAUAACACAUGCAAGUCAAGGGGGCCAGCAAUGGCAACCGGCGAACGGGUGCGUAACACGUGAGCAACCUGCCACCGUGUGGGGCAUAGCCGGCCUAACGGCCGGGUAAUUCUGCAUACGAUCACUGAGAGUCAUCUCUCGGUGAUGAAACGAUUUAUCGGCACGGUGAGGGGCUCGCGGCCUAUCAGCUAGUUGGUGAGGGUAACGGCCCACCAAGGCAACGACGGUAGCUGGUCUGAGAGGAUGGCCAGCCACAUUGGGACUGAGAUACGGCCCAGACUCCUACGGGAGCAGCAGUGGGAAUCUGCGCAAUGGCCUAACGGCUGACGCAGCGACGCCGCGUGAGGGAU
RNAcentral lists this ribosomal RNA (369 nucleotides) under uncultured bacterium. Its description in RNAcentral is "bacterial SSU rRNA". It matches the Rfam family "Bacterial small subunit ribosomal RNA", at positions 28 to 409 of the family's 1533-position model. The record is from RNAcentral.